Molecule: long non-coding RNA, 350 nt
Filed under: Sorghum bicolor (sorghum)
Lineage: Eukaryota; Viridiplantae; Streptophyta; Magnoliopsida; Poales; Poaceae
Description: long non-coding RNA (SBIC_LNC007425)
Source: RNAcentral
GGUAAGUUCGUCAUAAACAUCAUCGAUCUCUGCUAAUCAACUCCUUCGGAUCUGUUAAAAAAACGGCUUCUCAUAAUACGUGUGUUGUGAUCGUGCGUGCAGUCGAGCGACGAGGAAGAGGAGGUGAUCGAUGAGAACGGAGAGAUCGUCAAGAGGAAGAAGAAGAAGGGCCUUAAGGAGAAGAUCAAGGAGAAGCUGCCGGGCCACCACAAGGACCACGACGGCGACCACCACACGGCCGCCGUACCGGCCCCCGCGCCCGUGGUGGACGCGCACGCUCACCACCACCAGGAGGAAGAGCACAAGCCGCAGCACUUCCCGGCCCCGGCGCCACCCCCACACGUGGAGAC